ACGAACGCUGGCGGCGUGCUUAACACAUGCACGUCGAACGGAAAGGCCCUGCUUUUGUGGGGUGCUCGAGUGGCGAACGGGUGAGUAACACGUGAGUAACCUGCCCUUGACUUUGGGAUAACUUCAGGAAACUGGGGCUAAUACCGGAUAGGAGCUCCUGCUGCAUGGUUGGGGUUGGAAAGUUUCGGCGGUUGGGGAUGGACUCGCGGCUUAUCAGCUUGUUGGUGGGGUAGUGGCGUACCAAGGCUUUGACGGGUAGCCGGCCUGAGAGGGUGACCGGCCACAUUGGGACUGAGAUACGGCCCAGACUCCUACGGGAGGCAGCAGUGGGGAAUAUUGCACAAUGGGCGGAAGCCUGAUGCAGCAACGCCGCGUGCGGGAUGACGGCCUUCGGGUUGUAAACCGCUUUCGCCUGUGACGAAGCGUGAGUGACGGUAAUGGGUAAAGAAGCACCGGCUAACUACGUG
RNAcentral lists this ribosomal RNA (467 nucleotides) under uncultured bacterium. Its description in RNAcentral is "partial 16S ribosomal RNA". It matches the Rfam family "Bacterial small subunit ribosomal RNA", at positions 29 to 507 of the family's 1533-position model. The record is from RNAcentral.